This 224-nucleotide long non-coding RNA is filed under the name Nicotiana benthamiana. RNAcentral's name for it is "long non-coding RNA (NBEN_LNC028023)". Lineage: Eukaryota; Viridiplantae; Streptophyta; Magnoliopsida; Solanales; Solanaceae. The record is from RNAcentral.
UAGUUACUGCUUGUUACUAUUGCAGGCGACUGUAUUUAUGUUUCUUAUGUUUACAUAAUUAUUUACGUUAUUUCUGCGGGGUUACUUAUGCUUUAUUAUUUCGUUUUGUCUUGCUUUGGUUUCUAAUUUUGUCUUUGUUUUAAUGCAGCUUUUCAUUUUAUCCGAUGCGCCGAGGGUCGAUUGGAAACAGCCUCUCUGCCCCUUCGGGUAGGGGUAAGGCUCGU